UCCCAUGGUUUCCGUAGGGUGAACCUGCGGAAGGAUCAUUACCGAGUGAGGGCCCUCUGGGUCCAACCUCCCACCCGUGUCUAUCGUACCUUGUUGCUUCGGCGGGCCCGCCGUUUCGACGGCCGCCGGGGAGGCCUUGCGCCCCCGGGCCCGCGCCCGCCGAAGACCCCAACAUGAACGCUGUUCUGAAAGUUGCAUCAGCCAGUCUGAGUCGAUUUAUCGUAAUCAGUUAAAACUUUCAACAACGGAUCUCUUGGUUCCGGCAUCGAUGAAGAACGCAGCGAAAUGCGAUAAGUAAUGUGAAUUGCAGAAUUCAGUGAAUCAUCGAGUCUUUUAGAACGCACAUUGCGCCCCCUGGUAUUCCGGGGGGCAUGCCUGUCCGAGCGUCAUUGCUGCCCUCAAGCACGGCUUGUGUGUUGGGCCCCCGUCCCCCUCUCCCGGGGGACGGGCCCGAAAGGCAGCGGCGGCACCGCGUCCGGUCCUCGAGCGUAUGGGGCUUUGUCACCCGCUCUGUAGGCCCGGCCGGCGCCAGCCGACCACCAACUUUAUUUUUCUAAGGUUGACCUCGGAUCAGGAAGCUAUAUGUC
RNAcentral lists this ribosomal RNA (587 nucleotides) under Aspergillus fumigatus. RNAcentral's name for it is "eukaryotic LSU rRNA". The stretch from base 234 to 389 matches the Rfam family "5.8S ribosomal RNA". The record is from RNAcentral. Lineage: Eukaryota; Fungi; Ascomycota; Eurotiomycetes; Eurotiales; Aspergillaceae.